ACUUGUAAAUAAUUGAAACAUGAUUUAAUAUCUAGAUAUUUUCUCUACUUAAACUUGGUGCCCAAGUUAAUCCAUCAUCUUCUUCAUUUUGUGGGUGCCGAAUACUCCAUAGCUCCCAACACAAAACCUUAUACUUUUAUUUUCUCUCAAAACUUUCUUCACGAAAAUUGUCGGGAAUAUUGCGUAGAUCGUGUAUGUGUGUUUGCAUGUUCGUUUGAGAUUCGACAAGUUGUCGAGCUAUCGGGUCGGCGGACCAAGGGAAUUAACGGAGUUGUUUAAAGGAGCAUUGACGGAGUAAUACCGUAGUUAAACGGUUUCUGAAAGCUGGUCCGAUUUUGAUGAAGGCUUCCGAACGUUUAUUUCUCGGAAGUCUACUUUGAUAAAAGACUGUAAAGAAGGUUUUAAGUUCUAGUUGUCCGCAGUAGACUAGUAUAGUCUUAUUGUAUUUAAAUGUUUUAAUGCACAUUUAAAACUCUGAUAUUUUAUCUCAUCAGUUAUUUAAUAAAUGUGUCAUACGUCUCUUUUAAAAGCGAAAAAUUUAUAGUGUUUUUCAGGCUUGCUACGGGUUUCGGAGCAACCACUCCCAUUCCCUAGCGCCGGUCUCGACUCGAGAUUUCG
This is a long non-coding RNA of Mercurialis annua (annual mercury), 618 nucleotides long. RefSeq lists it as uncharacterized. The transcript has 3 exons. The record is from RefSeq and is a predicted model, not a curated record. NCBI's taxonomy places the organism in Eukaryota, Viridiplantae, Streptophyta, Magnoliopsida, Malpighiales, Euphorbiaceae.